This 283-nucleotide long non-coding RNA is filed under the name Trifolium pratense (red clover). RNAcentral describes it as "long non-coding RNA (TPRA_LNC011820)". The record is from RNAcentral. Lineage: Eukaryota; Viridiplantae; Streptophyta; Magnoliopsida; Fabales; Fabaceae.
ACAACUUCAAUUAAGUGAAACACCUGAUCAUGAUAGGAAACAGGAUUUUGAUUCAGCAAAGAGAAUUCGAGAAUUGGGAUUUUGACGAUUUGGGAAGGCGUGGCUAGGGUUUGUUCAGCGAACAACUUCAUUUAAGUGAAACACCUGAUCGAGAUUUUGAAACGGGAUUUUGAUUCGGCAAAGAAGAUUCGAGAUUUGGGAUUUUGGAAACGUGGUCGAGAUUUUGAAGAGCGUCGAAUUCUGAAAUUGAACCUGGUAAUGCUAUUUGGAGAGGAAGAAAUGC